UAGCAUCUUCAGGUAAUCUUGUAGACCAGUUAUGGAAUAGAGUUAUCUAUAACCCCAGACUCCGGUUGUUAAAAACGGUCUGGUUUUAUCAGACAGACUUUGUUUUUGAAACAGGAACCUAUUUUUAUCAGCCGGAGACAAGAGUUUGGAACUACAGACUAUAUAAUAAUCUGGUUGUACCAGAAGGAACGGUCCCCAACCCCUCACCAGUUAUCUCCCACAUGCAGCGCAGCACUCAGAGGUGUUUUUUUUUCUUUUUUUUCUUACUUCUAUAAUUACCCUACCAGAAAUCCAGAGGUCUUCACACUAGUGACCUGAAACCAGAGCGAUGACCCUUCAAAGAGAACACGUUGUUUUCAACAGUUUUUGACUUAAUCGGCAAUGAGCUUCAUUCAACCACAUAUCACCCUGAAGAUUUCUACUCAGAGGAACAAAUAGGGUCUACAAGGGAGAAUGGCAUUCCGUCAGAUCAGGUGGUAGAUCUCACAGGAGAAGUCGAUGGUGCGAGCGAUUGUGAACAGUACUAUAUGCAGGGUCUCUCCACUACCUUUUACGAGGAAAACGCUCCGGUUCUGGAAUCGGAUCAGCCCUCGGUUUCAGUACCGCAAGCGUACAUAACACCGGGGCCCCCGAAACACGAUGAGCCGGAUGUGUCCCCGGAGUCACCCGUCGAUGAUGUAGAGCGCUCCAGUCAGGCCGCAGAUGGGAGAUCACGUAACGGAUCACCGGUAGAAGCACGGGGACUGACAGCGGAGGAAAUCAUUCAUCCGGACCCAGCAGAACCAUGUAUGCAGAUGAAUCAGACUGAGCCUAAACCGAUCAACGGACCUCGGAAAAGGGAACACCGUAGAAGGCUCAUUUCAACCAGCAGUAGCAGUAGCAGUAGUAGGAGCAGCAGGCCACCCACACGCAAACCACUACUAUGGUAUAAAAAAUCUAAAGGACUUUCUGGGUUCCCCAUAUCUGUGUGAGUACUGUUACACAGGGUACAACUGUGUGCUGAGUCACAGAUGCCCUGCUCAUUGUUCCAUUUGCUAUGACCCUACCUUUAUUCAGAAGGGGUUUCGACCUGUUGUGUGUAAAGAGUGUAACAGGAUAUGUCGUUCAGAAUUCUGCCUGACAAAGCACAAAGAGCCUACAGAGAGCCCCAGAGCCCAAAAAUUCGCCAGCACGUGCUUGUUGUACAAAAAAUGUAACAAAUGUGCACAGCUUUACUACUCAGCGAUGAGUGGUGAAGGUAAACCACACACAUGUCCUGUGGUGAAGUGUAAAAUCUGUGGUGAGAAUUUGACCUCUGACGUUACAGAUAAGAGUGAGAUGCACCAGUGCUACAUCCAGACACUACCCCUGAAACAAAACACACAGAAAAAUUGGUGUUUUAUGAUUUUGAAACAUACGUCAAUGAAAAUGGUGUUCACAUACCCUUUUUGUUGUGUACAAAAAUGUUAGAUGGCAAAACAUGGAGCUCUCAAGGCAGAAAUUGUGCCAACGAUUUUCUCAUGCAUUUCAGACGCCCUCUGUACAAAAAUGCUGUGUUUAUUGCUCACAAUGCUCGAGGUUUUGACUCCUACCUACUCCUCAACGCCAUGCUUGAAUAAGCAUUAAAACCCUCUUUGAUUUUGCAAGGUUCAAAAGUCAUCUGUAUGACAGAUCCAGAUUUUAAUCAAAAAUACAUUGACUCACUCUCCUUUCUUUCCAUGCGUUUAGCCGAUAUGCCAAAAGCUCUCGGUUUCG
Molecule: RNA transcript, 1734 nt
Organism: Micropterus dolomieu (smallmouth bass)
Lineage: Eukaryota; Metazoa; Chordata; Actinopteri; Centrarchiformes; Centrarchidae
Exons: 5
Source: RefSeq, a predicted model, not a curated record